RNAcentral lists this unclassified non-coding RNA (353 nucleotides) under soil metagenome. RNAcentral describes it as "partial contains 5.8S ribosomal RNA, internal transcribed spacer 2, and large subunit ribosomal RNA". The stretch from base 1 to 121 matches the Rfam family "5.8S ribosomal RNA", at positions 35 to 154 of the family's 154-position model. The record is from RNAcentral.
GAUGAAGAACGUAGCGAAAUGCGAUAAGUAAUGCGAAUUGCAGAAUUCCAGUGAAUCAUCGAAUCUUUGAACGCACAUUGCGCCCGCCAGUAUUCUGGCGGGCAUGCCUGUUCGAGCGUCAUUUCAACCCUCAGGCCCCCAGUGCCUGGUGUUGGGGAUCGGCCCAGCCUUCCUGUAAGGCCGCCGGCCCCGAAAUCUAGUGGCGGUCUCGCUGUAGUCCUCCUCUGCGUAGUAGCACAACCUCGCAGUUGGAACGCGGCGGUGGCCAUGCCGUUAAACACCCCACUUCUGAAAGUUGACCUCGGAUCAGGUAGGAAUACCCGCUGAACUUAAGCAUAUCAAUAAGCGGAGGA